RNAcentral lists this long non-coding RNA (552 nucleotides) under Anolis carolinensis (green anole). RNAcentral's name for it is "lncRNA (ENSACAG00000032274.2)". Lineage: Eukaryota; Metazoa; Chordata; Lepidosauria; Squamata; Anolidae. The record is from RNAcentral.
UGGCUCAUAUCUCAUUGGUGGUCAUAGUGGAGUGUCUGCAGCUCCACUUUAAGAAAAACUUUCAAAGUUGCUGAACCUACUCUGGGUAUAGGAUUCAGUACUUUGGCUAGUUCUAUUAAAGCCUGGAGUGGAUUCAUUGCUCCAUUUACAUGGAAGCCAUUAGAUGUUUAUUCAUUUACUCAAUACAGAAUCUGCAAUGGAGGAUACAAUUGCAGGAUCUGUACAAGCUAUUUAGCUUUUUCUUCAACAAGUCUCCUAAAGAGGAGUCCACAAUGUCCUGAGGAAGGCACCUGAAGGAAAAGACGGGAGGAAGGAUACUUUUUCUUCCUAAUAUUCCAAAGACAAAAGAAAAGGCAGUCCAAAGAAAUGAAAUUGAUUUCUGUGCCACCUUCCUCCCAAAUCUUGGUUUGUACGAGAUAAUUUUAAAAAGAGCUACAACCCUUCACACUAUUACAGCAUUACAUUAUAGUGUUAAAUACAAUGCUUUCUAAUAAAAAUGGACUUUUCUGAAGAAUUAAAAUUGUUUGUAAAUAAAGAAUUGAAUUAAAGCAG